RNAcentral lists this ribosomal RNA (253 nucleotides) under uncultured bacterium. Its description in RNAcentral is "partial 16S ribosomal RNA". It matches the Rfam family "Bacterial small subunit ribosomal RNA", at positions 524 to 776 of the family's 1533-position model. The record is from RNAcentral.
UACGUAGGGGGCAAGCGUUGUCCGGAUUUAUUGGGCGUAAAGCGCUCGCAGGUGGUUCGUCGCGUCGUGCGUGAAAGACCCCGGCUCAACUGGGGGGUGUCGUGCGAUACGGGCGGACUGGAGGCCAGUAGGGGGAUGCGGAAUUCCGGGUGUAGUGGUGGAAUGCGUAGAGAUCGGGAGGAAGGCCGGUGGCGAAGGCGGCGCUCUGGAACAUUUCUGACGCUGAGGCUCGAAAGCGUGGGGAGCAAACAGG